Molecule: long non-coding RNA, 11277 nt
Filed under: Eutrema salsugineum
Lineage: Eukaryota; Viridiplantae; Streptophyta; Magnoliopsida; Brassicales; Brassicaceae
Description: long non-coding RNA (ESAL_LNC000110)
Source: RNAcentral
AAAAAAAAAAAAAGAAAUGGUACUUGCAAUGUUUUACACCAUGUUUGUGUUUUAAAAAUAUUUCACACUACAUAUUCAAAGUUAUAAUGCAGGAUACAAUUUGUUUCUAGUCGAAAAGGUCAAAAAUAUCCAAAUUUUUUAUGUGGUGUUUUCAAGAAUUAUGCUUUUAAGAGAAUUUAAGAAAAUCGGACUAUUCUAUCGAGAUACUAUAACUUAUUCAACAGAAUAUCUAAAGCAUUUGUUCUGAAAGCAAGAAUUCUAGAUGCUCUUCUCCCCAUUUGUUUUUGGUCGAAUGCCACAAAAGAUGUUGAGAAUUAGGCACAAGAACCGGGUUCAAUAAGUUGACAAAUACCAAACCGAGGACCGACGUGGAAUCGUGGAGAAAAAGUUACAUUACAAUAAAGAUAAAUAAAGAAAAGGGAAGAUGACGUAAAGCUCAGAUUUGGAGCCUAACGAACUCCACGUCACCGCCUAAGUUCAUCCAUUGAAAUUUGACGGCGUCUUCUACUCUUCUAUCAUAACCCUUCGUUCUUUCAUGUGAACCACGUCACCGCCAUUCUCUUUUUUUUUUCUUUCUUAAUACAUUUCUCAAUAUGCGUCCAAUAUCAUAAAUAUAAUAUAUAUAUAUAUAUACAAUUUAACCUAUUAAGGCAUUGCAACUUGUAGUGAACUUUCAAAGGAACUUGCAUCCACAAAUUUAAACAUUUUUGCAUGUUGUAGAAUUGAACACGAAUAAUAAAGUGUGUAUUGAUGAUACACUUGUGUUACUUAUUUGACAAUUUAUUUGGUUUUCUUAGAAAAACUGAAACUGGCUUAUACAGUAUGUUUGUACACAUUUUUUGUAUUCGAAGAAAUUGGGGCAUCAUACAGUGACAUUGCUAUUAAUGUUUCUUCUAUAUCAAACCAAGUGAUAACAAAAUAUAAAAAGUAAUAAUGUUGACUUGUAAAUAAAGUAAGAAAAUUAAAUUCUGUCAUUUCAGAAGAGGAAGUAUGUCACAUGUAUAAUAGAUCAUCGAUACUUUUCAUGAGAACUUCCACAAGAAAGCCAUUGACUUCUUAUACCUUUCUCAAUUUUCCAGCUUGACCCAUUUUUUUCUUUUGAAGUUAUGAGAACUUUAUGUAUAAAAACAUUUUAGACUAGACCUCAAGAAAAUUCAGAUAUUUUUAUAAUUUGUGAAAAAAAUGUUGAAAUAAAUUGAUUGGAUUAUUUCUAUUACUAACGUUAAUCCAGUAUUAUGGUGGUCUAUAUUAUUAUUAUAGCCACCUAUACGGAAUGUUGAUGUGCCAAACAAUGGAGACACACAUUGUGUACUUGGAUUAAUGAAUAAAAUGACAUGUAUCAGUCUAUGGGACACAUAGUAAACUAGAUUAUUUCAUACCUAAAAUGCUAUAAUAUUUGAUUGAUAAAUGAUAAGAACAAAGAAAAGUUCUUGCAAGUUUGAAAAAAAAAAAGAGAAUAUCUUGACUCGUGCGGAUCUCAAACUUUUCUUUUCUAUCCUCUUCUCAAAUUAUAUUCCAAGUAAAACACGCAAUUACCAUAAGAGUUAAACAAUAUAAAAAGAGUUCUCAACUAAAUCUUCCAAAAGAGGCUUUCUCUUAUGGUUCACAUGUAAGUAUAUACUUUAAUUUACAUAAAAUUUAAUUUAACGAAUCCUAAUGAGCCUAUUUUCUGAACACGUACAAAUCAAUUUAAUGCAUAUCUUCACAUUUACACAAGAAUAAAGAAACUACACAUAUUUUUACUCCAUUGCUUCUGAAUUUAUAUAAUUCUUUCCAUUUAAUAUGAUUGAGUUUUUAUCCCUCUAACAAGGAAAAAUAUUAUAUAUAGAUACAAGGAAAGCCCAUUUCAUUAUCUAUCUUCUCUUUGAUUCAGCGAGCGAAAUAAAAACAAAAGGCCAAAAAUGGGUGCAGACGCAAUCCAAACGAACGGUCACGAUCCCGCCAAGUUAACCGCCGCGAGAGGGAUCCAACGGUUGAGAUGCGCCGUGAAGAACUACGAGUGGGGCAAACUCGGACCGGACUCACUUGUUGCGAGGCUCCACGAGGCGAAUUCAGGGGACCGAGUCGACCCGGUGGUUCCUCACGCCGAGUUGUGGAUGGGUACUCACGAGUCGGCACCGAGUUACGUUGUGAAGGAAGAAGAAUUCGGGUCGGGUCGUAAUGGAUCCGAAUGCAUGGUUACAUUGAAAUCAUGGGUUUUGGAUUAUCCGAAUUUACUCGGGUCUAGAGUCGUGGACAAAUGGGGUUGUGAUCUUCCUUUCCUCUUCAAGGUAUUAUAUUUUAAAAGUUUCCAAUUAAAACAUGUAUAUUCAAAACCUUCUUUCAAAAAAAAAAAAAAACAUGUAUAUUCAGAUUCUGUUUAUGGUAAAUCUUUUUGUUUUUCCAGUUUUGUCUCAUACAUAAUUGUUCAGGAACAAAAGUAUUAUUUAUUUGAUCCUAAGAUUCUCAUUUUGAAUAUUUUUGCUCUGUUUUGAGGAUUUUACUUUUUGACUCUGUUUUCUUAUAAAAUUUCUAAUUAAAAGUCAAAACAUAUAUAUAUAUAUAUAUAUAUAUGUAUUUUUUUGUAAUUUCAGAUUCUGUGAAUUGUCAAUUUCUCCACUUUUUAUAUUUACAUAUAUUAUAUAUACAGCCAAUUUGUCUUGUUAGAUACAUAUAUAUUUUGGCUCUGUUUUGAGGAUGAUACAUUUUAACUCUGUUUUCUCAAUUUAUAAAAAUGCAUUUCUUUUUCUCUGUGUGUUUUAAAUUUAAAACAUAAAGGUUUGAUUCUAAUGAAUAAGAGUUUGAUGUUGAAAUGUGCAAAAAAUAAAAACAGGUUUUGUCAGUGACGAAAGCAUUGUCGAUUCAAGCACAUCCAAACAAAGCCUUAGCAGAGAAAUUGCAUAGAGAAGAUCCUCUUCUUUACAGAGAUGCUAACCAUAAGCCUGAGAUUGCUCUCGCCAUUACUCCUUUUCAAGCUCUUUGUGGUUUCGUAUCUCUUAAUGUACUAGAUUCUUCACUUCUCUGCAAACAUCUAAUUUAGUCGGUUUUUGAUUUAGAUAACUUCGGUUAUUUUGCCUAUCACAUAUGCUAAAUCCAAAAUUGAACCGGUUCUGUACCACUUUUGAUAUCAAAUUCAGGAGCUGAAGGAAGCCAUCGCCAAUGUACCAGAAAUCACAGAGCUUGUCGGAAGUAAAGCAGCAGAUCAAAUCUUCAAAGUCAACGAACACGAUGGAGACGAAACAAGUGUUAAAUCCGUUGUCCGUUUGAUUUUCACGCAAUUGAUGUCUGCAAACAUCAAUGAUACAAAGCAAGUCAUAUCACAGAUGAAGAUUCGUCUGAUCUCAGAAACAAACCACCGUGAGUUAUCGGAGAAGGAGAAGUUAGUAUUGGAACUAGAGAAACAGUAUCCAGGUGACGUGGGCGUGAUCUCAGCAUUCUUCUUUAACCACGUCAAGCUUAAUCCCGGAGAGGCUUUGUAUCUUGACGCCAACGAGCCACACGCUUACAUUUCCGGCGACUGUGUUGAGUGUAUGGCGGCUUCAGACAACGUUGUUAGAGCUGGUCUCACUCCGAAACACCGCGAUGUUCAAACUCUGUGUUCUAUGCUGACCUACAAAUUGGUAACUUUCUUUACACGUUAACGUUUUUUUUGGUUUAGUUGGCUAGCAAAAUUUGGAUUGUACCCUAACCCUAACCAAAACCGAAAAUUUAUUUUUCUUUGUUUGGUUAUUGAUUAAUUGUACCGGAUUUGUUUCAGGGCUACCCGGAGAUUUUGAAAGGAUUUCCUCUGACUCCAUACAUUACGAGAUACCUUCCACCAUUUGAUGAGUUUGAAGUGGACCAUUGUGAUCUUCCUAGAGAGAAAUCCACUGUUUUUCCGGCCAUACCAGGGCCAUCGGUUUAUCUGGUUAUUGAAGGAAAAGGGACAUUGAAAACCGGUUCAUCUCAAUUGUUGGUUAAACGAGGAGAUGUUUUGUUUGUUCCGGCACAUAACGAGAUUCACGUAACCGGAGAAAGUGAUGUGAUGAAGCUUUACAGAGCUGGAGUCAGCAGCAGAUUCUUUCAAACAAUGUAGACUAAGUAAAGAUACAUAUAUAUAUAUUUAAUUUGUUAUCUAAAUGUAACCAUAGGGAUCAAGGCAUUGACGUGAUCAUAGUCAAUAUUGGUCCAUGUUCUUUAAUCCUACAAAUGUCCCAUUACGAAUCAAGGGUUCAAGGGGUUGUUUUUCUAUUAACUUUUGUUGUUUCUUCUACACCUUUAAAAUUGAAUUAUAUAUGUAAAAUGAUUAUAAAACAAUGUUUUUUUUUUUACUUUUUGCUAUUGUAGUGUAGUAACUAGUAAUUAUUCUUCCUUUACCUGUUUAAACUUUAAUUUCUAGAACUACUCUGCAAAAGCACAUUUGUUCAGUUGUAAUAUGUAGAGAUCGAACCACAGAGACGAGAAAUUCGCUCAAUAAACCUAAUAGACUCUAAUUGCGCUAAGAAGAAAUAAUGAAAUUGAGAGCAGCAAUGCAAUAAAAAACGGUUUUAAAUUCGAUGGGAAAGAAUUAGGCUCAGGGUGUUUCACAGAAAAUCAGAGAAUGCAGACAAAUCGAUUAGUCAUGAUUCAGAUUUAAGCGCAAUUCUUGAACUCAAAUCACGAAAUUAUAAUUAACUAACUUUUGUUGCGAAAAUUAUUUAAAUCUAAAUCCCAGAAUCCCAAUUUUCUUUGCAAUCCUAAAGAUAUAAAUUAGCCUUAAGUGCAGGUUCGAUAUGUUCACAAAGUGUCUAAACCAAUUUUUUUUGUGGAUAGCUACUUUGCUCAUCCUAGGUUCUUUCGGAUUAUUCAAUUACAGUUUCGUGUCAAUCAAUUAACCUAAGAUCUAAGUUCUAGGUGAUCAGUCCAAAAUUAGCUUUAAGAAUAAUCUAUGGUGAAUUACUAAUCAGAUUAUGACCCCUAACUAAUUAAUUAUCUAAAAUUCAAAGGGAUCCCUUAUGAGAACCCUAAACCUAACAAACAAACUACUCAAAUAUGGAGAUUGAAUCAAUAAACAUGAAUGAAUAGAUUGCAGAAAGCAGUAAAAAGAUUAAUAAACAGAGGUUCAAAAUCUUCUCUCAAACAAACAGAGUCUCAGACUUGUCUCCCUAAAAGCUCUCUCAAGAUCAAUAGAAAUCAAAAGUCUCAAAGAAAAUCUAGAGUGUAGCCAAAACACGUGGCUGAAAACCCUAUCAAAAGCUAAAACACAUGUUGGACUUCCCUGUAAAUAUUGGAGACUUCUGGGCUCAAGAGAUUCUUUAAAACUUAGACAAAAUCACGUUUUUCCUUAUUCACGACAUUGGUGUCGAGCAACACCAAAACAUAUAAAUCAUCUUUCACGAAUUUGAUCCCUGCUUAGUUCCAAAAUGCUCUAAAAUCUCCAAUUAAACUCCAAAUACAUUUAAGACCUGAAAAGACUCCAAAAAAUUAAAAAAACACUAAAGAGACUCUAUAAAUAAAACCUAUCAUGAUCAAAAACCAUAAAAAAAAACCAUGAUAUAUCAUUCUCCAUGAUAAGCAUUUUUCGAAUGGUCUGAGUCGAACAAAACAAUGUUCUCUAAAGUAUAAGGCCAAUUCUUUUUGCCUCCCUCGUCACUUACCUUUUGUUUGUGGCUUCCAUGGCAUAGACUAGAGAGAUGACCCCGAGAAGACCUAAUCUAGCACGCAUUUGUUUGGAUGUUGCUAAUGUUCCGUUUUAAAGUACAUAUGCAAAGAUCGUGGAAAGUAAAACGAACUCAAUCUUAAGUCUUGAGACAAUGAUUUUUGCCAAUUUUCCGGUAAGCUUUCCCGGUGAAAUCUUUCACUGGAAUGACCUGAUUAUGGAUGCGCUGGAAACUUGAGUACUAUAACGUGAUAUACUUAUAUGUCAAAAUCGAAUUUAAACUGAAUGAGAAAUGAGGAUUCUUAGAGAGUAUAGCUUGAAAGCUUAAAAAUAACAUAAGUUACCAAAUGACAAGUGUGAUUUGUCCCACAUUAGCAAUUCAACGUUACAUUUUGAACGUAGUGUUACGUUCUCCCCUUGAUAAUACUCAAUAGAUCUGCUUCUAGCCUGUCCCAACAAUCUGAUUCGGAUUGAGAAUUGCGGUUUUUGCGAACGUUGUUAAAGAUUUCCAAAAAAAAAAAUAUUUCAUUACGGCUUUUCACAUCAAAUCGGAAAAACUCUGCUUAGUUUUAACUUUUUAGGGAAUUUGAUAAAUAUUUGACAAACUUUGUGAAAAUAACUUUUGGAGUAGCAAAAUUCCGCAAAAAAAAAAAAAAAACUCAGAGUAAACUUACUGACAAAAGAAAAAAGUUUCCUCAAGUUGGUUUAGUCGCAUUCCUUUUGUCAAGCACUUAAUCCACUACAAAGACGUUUUGUUGUAAUUUAACCGAACUGAACAAUCAUUCCAAAUCUUAAUAAGCAGCUAAAGAGAGACAUUGAGAGACCAAGAUAAACCGGUUUACUUGCACCUACUUGCUGUUUGUUAAAGCUUUGGUUACAAAAUGUGAAACGAUUCCAACCGGACAGAAGAGAAGGCACAAUGAAACCGAAUGCCUCGUCUCAAUCUUAUUCUCUAGCCCAUCAUUAAAAACUUGCCUGCAGAGAAACACUCAAAACAUGAGUUAUAAGAAACAUGCUAGGAUCAAUCAGAACCUGAAAAGUGCAAUAUAGUACCUUGCAGCGAAAAGAUCUAUAACAAGAAGAUGAAUCCAAGCAGAAGCAAGAGUCAUUUCACUUGAGAACAUUUUCGCUAUUCCAGACAACUGCAAAUGAAAAAAAAAAAAAGAAAUUUUAGAAACUGGAAUGUACACAUUUUCUUGUUUUCGAUAUUUCCUGAUAAUUGGAGGAAAAAGCUAAAACCUCUGGCAACAUGUAUUUACUGGAAAACAUGUAUUUGAGAGUAUCAGGCGUCCAAGAAAGGUAUAACAAAUACGCGUAUAAUACGCCUAAGACGAUAUACGGUAUGCUACUCUCCAUACACUUUUUGGUCUGCACAAGGAGAAAACAUACACUCAAUUCAAUAUGAACUUUUUUGAUUCUGCACAAGAAGUUGUAAAACUGCUAAACAAAAACUCACAAUUUCAGCUUUUGGAGCUACAACCAUUAGAGUGUAAAAGGGUAAAACAGCGGUUGUUCCAACCGCAAAUACACUGCUUGCAAUCUGAGAAGUAGCUAUCCCUGCACAAGAACAUGUUAUGUCUCUGUCCUACUUUCAAUUUAAACAUUGAAGAGCUAUAGAUUCUAGACAUAUAUCAAGCCUCUUUUUGGUUUAUAAUGUUUCAGUUAAGAGACAUUACAUGAAGCUCGUACACCAGAGGAUUUCUUUUGAACAAGAGAGGACGAGUUCGAUGAAACAUUAGGGAAAAGUGCGAUUUUUGAUCCUCCGAUAAAGCUCCAACGAUUCUGAAGUCGAAUACUUGACGAACCAACGCAUAGUUUAGACUUGACAUUGCUGAGAGAAAGACUUGUUAUCGAGCUCUUAGCUGAAAUGUUGCGAUUCAUCAUCUGAAUCACCAAACAAAAUGAAUCAAUCUGAUGAAAUAUAAAAAACUUCUUUAUUUCUUAAAAUUUAGGAAUCUGAGACCAAAAGCACUUUGAUCUGAACAACAACGAAUCAGGAACAGAGUUAGGUUCUGUAACAGGGACCCAUGAGGAGUAAAUUCAACUUCUUUAAUGUCUGCGUCAAUUCGAUCUGAUUCAAAGGAUAAAACUUUAAGGUUACCCAUAAGGAAUCUGAACUAUUCGAAAUUGUAGAAAGCUCGACAUAAGAAUCUAAUCCGACAAUCUCCAACAACUGUACAUACAUACAUACAUACAUACAUACAUGAUACAUACAUACAUACAUACACACACAUAGAUAUAGACAUAUAUCUGCGUAUACCGAAAAUUGGAGAAGAAUUGAAAAAGGAAGAGAAAAGGUAGAUACCGAGAGAGAUGAAGAAGACAAAGGCUGGGAAAUGCAAGAAGAUAAAGCCAUCUGCGAUUCAAAUCUUCAAUAGUCUUUGCCAGAAUUUGGCCAUUCAUUACCUUCUUCAACGAGCUCUCUCCAUAUAUAUAUGUAAAGUAUCAAUUUUUAGAGAGGAGAGUUGAGAGUUUUCCACUGGUUGAAAAGGGUAAGUGGAGAAGAAGCUAAGAGAAAAAGUGCUCACUCACUCUUUCUUCAUCAGUGUGGACAAUUAUAGUUGCUCAUCCACCCGAAUUUUUUAAAAAAGUUUUGGUCUUUUUUAGUUUUCCUCGUUUACUUCUGUUUCGCAUAAACAAAAAAAAAAGAAAAAACCAUUAUGAGUUUGAGUUAAUUUUAAAGAGAAAAUCAAAUUUAAAGAUUCUUUAUAUUGUAUGUUCAAAAUUGCAAUAUAUUAUGGAAAAAAAGAGAAGAUUUUUUCCUAAUUUUAGAUAAAAACCUUUAAUAAAAAUCAAAAAAUUAUUAAGAUAUUAAUUUAACCUUAUAUUUUAGAUAUUGUUCUUUUUCUGGUCAAUAUAAAAAAUUACAGUUUACCAUUCUUAUAUAAAAAAAAAUUAAUUAGACUCAAAUGGAAUGUUUUUAUUUUUUUAACAAGAAUAUAACUUUCAUAGAACCUAAUACCCAAAAAAAAAACAUUUGACCCGACUAAAUUAAAAUUCAAGGAAAGAUUGGAGCUUUGAUCCUUUACUCGAUAAAAAAAAGGUUCUUCAUUGUAUGAUCAAAUGACUUGUCGGAUUGUAUUUGUAGGUGGCUCAUCGUAGGAUUAAUAGCUUCUCGGAUUUUGUUAUCCUUGUCUUGUGUUUUGCUUUUUCCGUGAAGAUCAAAAUUUUCUUCUAUACAUUCCUGCUAUAUAUUCCAUCAUGUUCUACCGGUUACACUUAUAAGCCUAUAAGGAUAUCUAAUCUACUUUUUUAUUUGAUAAAAACCUAAUAUCUUUGUUAAUGGAUAUUUGUGCUUAAACUGAAUUUAGACACAACACAGGUCUAGUUCAGGACAGAACAAGACAAAAGUGACAGUGCUACUUCUACUCAGCAGUGGUUGUGACUUCCUCUAAAGACAAAAGUUGGUGUUUCCACCAUUAUUUCGGUUUUGCUUUUAUUAUAUAUUUUAUUUUAAUUUAUUUUUCGCUACAUGAGAAUUGCAUUAACGAAGGACAUUAUAUAUGAAAACAAAAAAAAACAAUAAAAAGAUAUACAUACAUGUGUCUGACACUCAUUGUUUGUGAAAUCAGUUGGGAGUAAGAUAGCGCUUGAGUGGGCUAUUUGGUAUGAUAGCUUCUCUCUAUUGAUGGGCCUUAUUGACCCACCCCACUUCAGUUUUGUUUAGUCAUUCACAACAAGAAAAACAUGAAAACAAAAGCAACACUUGUCUUUUCUAUCUCUCAAUCUGUAAGUGGUAUAUGCGCAUUUCGUUGAAUUCGAUUGAGACCAAAACUCUUUUAAAACAUAAUGUAUAGUUCUUAGGAUUAUAUGGGGAAAAUAUAUGAUGUCUCAAAGAUUUUUCAUAACAUAUUAUAUUCCUUAUAAUAAAAGGUCACCUGGGGUUUUUCUAUAAACCGGGGUUUUUUUAUAAACCGCCGGCUUUUCUAUAAACCGCCGGCUUUGUCUCUGGAGAUGUUGUAUCAUCUGCCGGCUUUGUGUAAUCCGUUGGCUUUGCUCUGUAACACUAUGGUGAUCAAUAUAAUAAUAUUCAAUGAAAAAAAAAAAAGGUCACCUAAAUAAUUAAAAAUUUGAAUUUUUACGACUCAUAUUUCUAUCCUAUUCCAAAGCUAGGAAAACAACAUAAAGAGUUACAAAUUCUUACUAUAUAGUACUUCCAACAAUAUCUUUAUGUAAAUUUGUGCCAAGUCAUUUUGAGUGGAAAAUGUAGAAUAUAUGAUCCACAAGAUCCUUGAAUAUACUUGGGUAUAUAGAAAUAAAAAUGAAUAUCCGAGACUCUUAUCUACAAGCCUAUCCUUAAGAAGGCACGUCCACGAAUGUUUCUAUCACAGAUUUUCAGUGGGCCAUCAUCUAUUACUUCAAGAUAUUGUUCUAAAAAUGCAUCUCAACCUCAAGCUUACUAAUCAUGUGACAAAAGUGAUAAUGUGAAUCUAGUUUUUCAAAUAAUUUCUUUAUUCAAUGACGACUAAUCAAAGAGUUGGUAUAUUUUUGUAUUCACAGUUCUUCAACUUUGUAUAUUUUCAUAUCUUGAGCCGCAUUGUAAUUUGUUUUUUCUUAUAUGCAAAAUUCAAAAUCAAAGAUUUAUAGAACAUUACAUAUUUAUUUCAUCAGACAUUUGAGAAUCCGAUAGAAAAUGUCUCGCAAACCGGAAAACAAACGUUAAAUCCGGAAAUUAAAACAAAACUAAGGAAACCAAAAAAAAAAAAGCAGAUGAUAAAAUCAAAGGUGAGGAGGGAGAUAAAGUUUUUUUUUUUUGAUGUUUACACAAAGCAAAGAAGCAGUGAAAUUAAGCAUCGGUGAAGCUUGCUGGCUUGUAGGCGAUGAAACUGAUGCACUGGACUUGACGGGUGUUGUCGAAUCCGAUGAUCCUAAUGAAGGCCUGGGGGUACUCCUUCUUGCACUCUUGCACUUCCUUCAACACUUGAGCUGAGUCAGUGCAUCCGAACAAAGGAAGCUUCCACAUUGUCCAGUACCGUCCAUCGUAGUAUCCGGGAGUGCUUCCGUGCUCACGGUGCACAAAUGCGUUCUACAAAAACACAUUACACAAAACCAUUCAAAAACAUAAAUCAAGAUUCUGCUUAGGACCUCUAAAUAGUUAUUAACUUGAUUGCAAGAUUCAUAUGGUCCAAGAGAUCAAGCUACUCUAUAAAUGAUUUUUAUUACCUCCAACUCGAAUUCAACACAGGGAAUCCACUUGUUGCGGAGAAGGUAGUCAACUUCCUUAGCCAAUUCAACUUCGGUUAGGUCAGGAAGGUAAGAGAGAGUCUCAAACUUCUUCUUACCAAUAGGAGGCCACACCUAUUUUUUGCCAUUUUUCCAAAAUCAACAAAAACAAUAUUAGUUUAUAUGAUUCGAUAAAUCAAAAACCCAUAAAUUUGUUUUUGGUAUAAGAGAUUUGACCUGCAUGCAGUUAACUCUUCCGCCGUUGCUUGCGAUGGAAGUAAUGUCGUUGUUGGCCUUACGGGUCACAGGGAAAGCAGCGGAGGACUUAAGUCCGGUGAAAGGUGCGACCAUUGUGGCCUGAGCCGGAGAAGCGACCAUUGUAGCGGAAGAGAGCAUAGAGGAAGCCAUAUUGCCUUUACUCUUUUUGUGUGUGACUUAGGUUUGGUCUAGUGCUUUGGUCAUCUAUAUAUAAUGGUAACAACAAUGAUAACAAGGUGAGGGAGUGAUCGGAGGGCUCA